CUGUGUUGCUUACCAAUGCAACGGAAUUUGAUGGUUCGGAUGCCUACAUCCGUUCGGCGCCCGUUAGGGUGCCGGGCGGACGACAGGUUGGCCUCGUGUUCCUGGCAUGCCUUGCCUCGUUGUUCGGCUGCCGUGGCGCACGGGGUUAUGCCCGUUCUCUCGGAUGCGGAUUGUUACGUGUGGGCUAGGGGUUACGGCCUCUAUCUGCCCGCAUCGUGCAUUUGUCCCUCGACACGGACGACUGCCGCGCUCGUCUUGGCUCGAGAGCUGCACGGCUCUACGAGGACCCAUGCGGGCGUCGGCGCCGUUUAGGAAUGCUACCUGGUUGAUCCUGCCAGUAGUCAUAUG
RNAcentral lists this unclassified non-coding RNA (348 nucleotides) under Hypelate trifoliata. RNAcentral describes it as "partial external transcribed spacer". Lineage: Eukaryota; Viridiplantae; Streptophyta; Magnoliopsida; Sapindales; Sapindaceae. The record is from RNAcentral.